GAUAAUUUACAUUUCUAGAGAACAAGCUCUUUAUGGUACAUAGAAAUAAUCCUGUCAUACAGUGACCAUUCAGAGAGGGAUAAAAACCUUAUAUAUGAAACUUUCACUAAUAACCUGAAACAUCACCACAGAGACAGUUGGGUUAUCCUGUUUGUUUGGACAUCCACUUAUUCACUUGAAAUGCAGGAAAUCUAUUUGAAAAAAACAAAACAAAACAUGAUCAGUUACUUGAUACAAUCAUGAGAUGUGAUCGAGAAAAACUUAUUAAGGAAUUAUUUUGUCAGAGUCAGUCUCUCUCAACAAGAAAAAGAAGAGAAUGUUUUCUGAAAAAUGAAAUUUUGGAUAAAUUUGAAGGGGCGUUAGACUGUGGCAAAGGAAAUGCAUGACAAAUCUUGGGAAUAGAAUAAGGGAAGAAACUUGGUGAGAGCUAUUUUACUUCCAAAUUUAAAGAUUUGCAGACUUUUCAAGAGAGAUUUCUGGCAUGCUCUUGUAACCUGCUCUGGCCAAUAAAAUCUGAGUGAAAUUUCCUGGAAGAGCUUUGUAGAAUCAAUAUGUGGUACUCAUUCUUCUUCUACGAGAUGAGAAAUGUUCUAUAUCGAAGCUACUCUGUCAGCCAAAAUAGUGAUAGACAUGUUCUGAAUGAGGGAGAAAAAUAAGGGCGAAUAUCAAUGAUUGAAAAGUUUGCUCGGGCUGCCAUAACAAAAUGCCAUGGACUGUGUGGCUUAAACAACAGAGAUUAAUUUUCUCACAUCUCUGGAGGCUACAAGCUCAAGGUGUUGGCAGGUCUGGUUUCUCCCGAAGCCUCUCUCCCUGGUUUGCAGGUGCAUCCAUGUGGGUGAGUAUGUUUAAAACAAACACCUCAGGAUAUGUGAUAUGCUAAAUGGAAAAGUAAGGAAAACAUACAAGAUUGCCGUGUUUUUCAUCGAGUCACUAGUGCAAUUCCUCAGAUUUCUGACAAGCUGCCUACAUCCCUUGGGAAGGGGAUUUGUAGUGAGGCUACUAUAAAAUUAGUAUUUGAUUGGAGAUGUUUAAAAACUUC
Molecule: long non-coding RNA, 1039 nt
Filed under: Homo sapiens (human)
Lineage: Eukaryota; Metazoa; Chordata; Mammalia; Primates; Hominidae
Description: HSALNT0362447
Source: RNAcentral